Cercocebus atys (sooty mangabey) is the source of this 227-nucleotide long non-coding RNA. RefSeq lists it as uncharacterized. The record is from RefSeq and is a predicted model, not a curated record. NCBI's taxonomy places the organism in Eukaryota, Metazoa, Chordata, Mammalia, Primates, Cercopithecidae. The transcript has 3 exons.
GUCUGUUACUCAUUGCCACCUUGGUGUCACGAAAGCUAGUCUGAAGGGCACUUCUCCUUGUUGCUGCUGUGUGAAGAAGGAGGUGUUUGCUUCCCCUUCCGCCAUGAUUGUAAGUUUCCUGAGGCCUGCCCAGCUCUGCGGAACUAAUGGAGAUAACUCUGGGCCUGACUUCCCUGAUUCUUCCCUUGACAUCCUCAAAGCUCUGGCCGGGCGCGGUGCCUCACUCC